AUGGAAGGUAGCAGUAUAUGUAUUUGUAGCAAAUCAUCAUCGCCCAUAAAUAAAUCAUCUCUUGCCCGCUUCCUCUGUCCGGUUGUCAACUCAAAUUGCUUUGGUUCACAAGUUCGUUUCAUCGUACAUCUAGCAGCUAACUACUCCAUGAUCACAGCAGUAAACAUUGAUAAGAGUACAAGCAUUGGAGGAGUACUCACCACGUUCGAGGAAGUCGUCAUCAUGGUGGUGGUGGUCGAGGAAGUCGUAGGUGCUGGUGGCAUCAUCACGGAGCAGUUACCAUCUUCUCCUCGACUUAAAAUGUAG
RNAcentral lists this ribosomal RNA (306 nucleotides) under Triticum aestivum (bread wheat). RNAcentral describes it as "partial small subunit ribosomal RNA". The record is from RNAcentral. Lineage: Eukaryota; Viridiplantae; Streptophyta; Magnoliopsida; Poales; Poaceae.